RNAcentral lists this ribosomal RNA (403 nucleotides) under uncultured bacterium. RNAcentral describes it as "bacterial SSU rRNA". It matches the Rfam family "Bacterial small subunit ribosomal RNA", at positions 917 to 1322 of the family's 1533-position model. The record is from RNAcentral.
GGGCCCGCACAAGCGGUGGAGUAUGUGGUUUAAUUCGAUGCAACGCGAAGAACCUUACCAGGGUUUGACAUCCUGCGAAUCUCUUGGAAACGAGAGAGUGCCUUCGGGAACGCAGUGACAGGUGGUGCAUGGCUGUCGUCAGCUCGUGUCGUGAGAUGUUGGGUUAAGUCCCGCAACGAGCGCAACCCACGUCGUUAGUUGCCAGCAUUUAGUUGGGCACUCUAGCGAGACCGCCGGUGAUAAACCGGAGGAAGGUGUGGAUGACGUCAAGUCAUCAUGCCCCUUACAUCCUGGGCUACACACGUACUACAAUGCUACGGACAAAGGGCAGCAAACUCGCGAGAGCUAGCAAAUCCCAAAACCCCAUCUCAGUUCGGAUCGGAGUCUGCAACUCGACUCCGUG